UGGGGAAUAUUGCACAAUGGGCGCAAGCCUGAUGCAGCGACGCCGCGUGAGGGAUGGAGGCCUUCGGGUUGUAAACCUCUUUCGCCAGUGAAGCAGGCCUGCUCCUUGUGGGUGGGUUGACGGUAGCUGGAUAAGAAGCGCCGGCUAACUACGUGCCAGCAGCCGCGGUAAUACGUAGGGCGCGAGCGUUGUCCGGAAUUAUUGGGCGUAAAGAGCUCGUAGGCGGCUGGUCGCGUCUGUCGUGAAAUCCUCUGGCUUAACUGGGGGCUUGCGGUGGGUACGGGCCGGCUUGAGUGCGGUAGGGGAGACUGGAACUCCUGGUGUAGCGGUGGAAUGCGCAGAUAUCAGGAAGAACACCGGUGGCGAAGGCGGGUCUCUGGGCCGUUACUGACGCUGAGGAGCGAAAGCGUGGGGAGCGAACAGGAUUAGAUACCCUGGUAGUCCACGCCGUAAACGUUGGGCACUAGGUGUGGGGGCCCUUUUCC
RNAcentral lists this ribosomal RNA (485 nucleotides) under uncultured bacterium. RNAcentral's name for it is "partial 16S ribosomal RNA". It matches the Rfam family "Bacterial small subunit ribosomal RNA", at positions 355 to 839 of the family's 1533-position model. The record is from RNAcentral.